This 301-nucleotide ribosomal RNA is filed under the name uncultured bacterium. Its description in RNAcentral is "partial 16S ribosomal RNA". It matches the Rfam family "Bacterial small subunit ribosomal RNA", at positions 509 to 807 of the family's 1533-position model. The record is from RNAcentral.
CAGCAGCCGCGGUAAUACAGAGGGUGCGAGCGUUAAUCGGAAUUACUGGGCGUAAAGCGCACGCAGGCGGUCUGUCAAGUCAGAUGUGAAAUCCCCGGGCUUAACCUGGGAACUGCAUUUGAAACUGGCAGGCUAGAGUCUUGUAGAGGGGGGUAGAAUUCCAGGUGUAGCGGUGAAAUGCGUAGAGAUCUGGAGGAAUACCGGUGGCGAAGGCGGCCCCCUGGACAAAGACUGACGCUGAGGUACGAAAGCAUGGGGAGCAAACAGGAUUAGAUACCCCUGUAGUCCCUGUCUCUUAUAC